RNAcentral lists this ribosomal RNA (253 nucleotides) under uncultured bacterium. Its description in RNAcentral is "partial 16S ribosomal RNA". It matches the Rfam family "Bacterial small subunit ribosomal RNA", at positions 524 to 776 of the family's 1533-position model. The record is from RNAcentral.
UACGUAGGGUGCGAGCGUUGUCCGGAAUUACUGGGCGUAAAGAGCUCGUAGGUGGUUUGUCGCGUUGUCCGUGAAAACUCACAACUCAAUUGUGGGCGUGCGGGCGAUACGGGCAGACUGGAGUACUGCAGGGGAGACUGGAAUUCCCGGUGUAGCGGUGAAAUGCGCAGAUAUCGGGAGGAACACCAGUAGCGAAGGCGGCACUCUGGGCCGGUACUGACGCUGAGGAGCGAAAGCGUGGGGAGCGAACAGG